UUCCUUCAUCCAUUCCAUCUUCUUUGUCUCUCCAUUUCCUUUCCAUUUUUCUAUACACCAAUUCCUUCAUCCAUUCCAUCUUCUUUGUCUCUCCAUUUCCUUUCCAUUUUUCUCUCCAUUCUCUAGUUUUAAGUUUCUGCAUUUUUAAGCAAAGAGAAGAAGAGAAGAAGAAGCCAUGAAGUCUCCUAGCCGUCAUCAUCCACCUUGUGCCGUGAUAGUGAAGUCUUGCUUUAAAGAUUCAAGAUCAACGUCUCAAGCUCUUCAUCAUCCACUCCCUUCAUGGUAUUUGUAG
This 292-nucleotide long non-coding RNA is filed under the name Rosa chinensis. Its description in RNAcentral is "sRNA RchiOBHm_Chr2g0168511". The record is from RNAcentral. Lineage: Eukaryota; Viridiplantae; Streptophyta; Magnoliopsida; Rosales; Rosaceae.